Molecule: ribosomal RNA, 960 nt
Filed under: uncultured bacterium
Lineage: Bacteria
Description: bacterial SSU rRNA
Rfam family: Bacterial small subunit ribosomal RNA
Source: RNAcentral
AGAGUUUGAUCCUGGCUCAGAAUCAACGCUGGCGGCGUGCCUCAGACAUGCAAGUCGAACGAGAAAGUUCCCUUCGGGGAGCGAGUAAAGUGGCGCACGGGUGAGUAACACGUAGGUAGUCUACCUUCGAGUGGGGAAUAACUCAGGGAAACUUGAGCUAAUACCGCAUAAUGCAGCGGCACCACAUGGUGACAGUUGUUAAAGCAUUUAUGCGCUUGAAGAGGAGCCUGCGGCAGAUUAGCUUGUUGGUAGGGUAAUGGCCUACCAAGGCCGCGAUCUGUAACCGGCCUGAGAGGGCGGACGGUCACACUGACACUGAAUAACGGGUCAGACUCCUACGGGAGGCAGCAGUCGGGAAUUUUGGGCAAUGGGCGAAAGCCUGACCCAGCAACGCCGCGUGAAGGAUGAAAUCCCUCGGGAUGUAAACUUCGGAAGAAUAGGAAGAAUACUGACGGUACUAUUUUUAAGGUCCGGCUAACUACGUGCCAGCAGCCGCGGUAAUACGUAGGGACCAAGCGUUGUUCGGAUUUACUGGGCGUAAAGGGCGCGUAGGCGGCGUGAUAAGUCACUUGUGAAAUCUCCGGGCUUAACUCGGAGCGGCCAAGUGAUACUGUCGUGCUAGAGUGCAGAAAGGGCAAUCGGAAUUCUCGGUGUAGCGGUGAAAUGCGUAGAUAUCGAGAGGAACACCUGAGGCGAAGGCGGGUUGCUAGGCUGACACUGACGCUGAUGCGCGAAAGCUAGGGUAGCAAACGGGAUUAGAUACCCCGGUAGUCCUAGCCCUAAACGAUGAAUGCUUGGUGUCUGGAGUAUUUAGUCUCCGGGUGCCGGCGCUAACGCAUUAAGCAUUCCGCCUGGGGAGUACGCACGCAAGUGUGAAACUCAAGGAAUUGACGGGGACCCGCACAAGCGGUGGAGCAUGUGGUUUAAUUCGACGCACGCGAAGAACCUUACCUGGGCUAG